RNAcentral lists this unclassified non-coding RNA (893 nucleotides) under Hevea brasiliensis (rubber tree). Lineage: Eukaryota; Viridiplantae; Streptophyta; Magnoliopsida; Malpighiales; Euphorbiaceae. The record is from RNAcentral.
AAAUGCCUGUAUAUGUGGAGAAUACCACAACAAAAAGAAAAAUGAUAUGAUUUUCUACAAAUAUAUGCUAUACCUACCAAAACCUCAUGGGUGUUGCAAAGGGAAAUAAGAGAUUAGGGGCUAUUCCUCCAUUGAAGAAAAUACUUAACUGUUCUCCUAUUUCUUUCUCUGCAUGUAAGGGUCAAGUCGAGUCGAGCAACAUCUAACACCUUGCGUCUUCUCUUCCGUCAGCUAUUCAAUACUUCUCUUAUAUGAUUGAAGUUCAAAACUACUCGGUUCUUGCACGUUUUGACUGUGCUUGAUUCAUCCAGUCGAUGCAUUCUUCAGCUGAACCAGAAGGGUGUGCGAGCUGCCACUCCAGCAGUUUUUGUUGCCAUUCACUAACAACUGGCCCUCCACUUUUAAUCUCCAAAAUAUUCAUAAUUUCCUUUCCAUUAACCAGUGGUUUCAUUUCCCAAACCUUCUCCAGACCUAGUGUUCUUACUGCAUUCUCUACUGUCUUAAAUAAUCCGCUACUCUUGUCCAGUUCAAAGUUCUCAUUUGAGAAACUUGUAGAGGACACAACGUCAACAGGAUGUAGCAGCAUAGAUAGAAGAAGAGCGACACGCCAAAAUUCUUUAAUUUCUCGAAGUAGCAAACCAGUCAAUAUUCUAAGUUUUGAAGCUAUUGGAACCUCAAUGGUAUCCCUUUCCCAAUCAACUUCAAGAACUUGGAUAUCGUCUUUAGAAAUGAGUAGUGAUAUUAAGGUGACAAACUUCCUAGUUACCGUAUGCAAGCUCAUGACUAUUUCCGCAUCACUGGCCUUCAACUUGAGAGAAUUGCGAAAAAUAUAAUUGACAACUGGAAUCUUUUUGGCUUUGUUAUCUCUAUAAAUGGUCUCUCUGAAUGGCAAA